Molecule: ribosomal RNA, 428 nt
Filed under: Anomaloglossus stepheni group sp. ABGD cluster 20
Lineage: Eukaryota; Metazoa; Chordata; Amphibia; Anura; Aromobatidae
Description: partial large subunit ribosomal RNA
Rfam family: Bacterial large subunit ribosomal RNA
Source: RNAcentral
GCCUCUUGAUUUAACCAUAAGAGGUCCAGCCUGCCCAGUGACAUUGUUCAACGGCCGCGGUAUCCUAACCGUGCGAAGGUAGCGUAAUCACUUGUCCUUUAAAUGAGGACUAGUAUGAAUGGCCCCACGAAAGCUAUACUGUCUCCUUUUUCUAAUCAGUUAAACUAAUCUCCCCGUGAAGAAGCGGGGAUAAACAUAUAAGACGAGAAGACCCUAUGGAGCUUUAAAUAACUGAAACAUUUGCACCCCACUUUAAAUUUCCGAAAUCUACACUUAAUUCCACAUCUUGUUUCUAGUUUUAGGUUGGGGUGACCACGGAGAAAAACCAAACCUCCAUGCCGAAAGAAACAUCUCUAAACAAAAAACUACAAUUUUAUGUAUUAACACAUUAACCUUAAUUGACCCAAUUUAUUGAUCAACGAACCAAG